This 301-nucleotide ribosomal RNA is filed under the name uncultured bacterium. RNAcentral describes it as "partial 16S ribosomal RNA". It matches the Rfam family "Bacterial small subunit ribosomal RNA", at positions 509 to 808 of the family's 1533-position model. The record is from RNAcentral.
CAGUAGCCGCGGGAAAACGAGGGGAGCUAGCGUUGUUCGGAAUUACUGGGCGUAAAGCGCGCGUAGGCGGCUUUUUAAGUCAGAGGUGAAAGCCCGGGGCUCAACCCCGGAAUUGCCUUUGAAACUGGAAAGCUAGAAUCUUGGAGAGGUCAGUGGAAUUCCGAGUGUAGAGGUGAAAUUCGUAGAUAUUCGGAAGAACACCAGUGGCGAAGGCGACUGACUGGACAAGUAUUGACGCUGAGGUGCGAAAGCGUGGGGAGCAAACAGGAUUAGAUACCCCUGUAGUCCCUGUCUCUAUACA